GCUGGGUUCAGAACGUCGUGAGACAGUUCGGUCCCUAUCUGCCAUGGGUGUAGAAGAAUUGAGAGGAGUUGCCCCUAGUACGAGAGGACCGGGGUGAACGUACCACUGGUGGACCGGUUGUAGCGCCAGCUGCAGUGCCGGGUAGCUAUGUACGGAAGAGAUAACCGCUGAAAGCAUCUAAGCGGGAAACUCGCCUCAAAACUAGUUCUUCCUUUAGGGUCGUGGUAGACUACCACGUUGAUAGGCUGGAUGUGGAAGCGCAGUAAUGCGUGUAGCUGACCAGUACUAAUAACCCAAUUGGCUUGAUUUAUG
RNAcentral lists this ribosomal RNA (312 nucleotides) under Pelagibacteraceae bacterium TMED136. RNAcentral's name for it is "bacterial LSU rRNA". It matches the Rfam family "Bacterial large subunit ribosomal RNA", at positions 2604 to 2925 of the family's 2925-position model. Lineage: Bacteria; Pseudomonadati; Pseudomonadota; Alphaproteobacteria; Candidatus Pelagibacterales; Candidatus Pelagibacteraceae. RNAcentral also lists the same sequence under 1 other name. The record is from RNAcentral.